This 449-nucleotide ribosomal RNA is filed under the name uncultured bacterium. RNAcentral's name for it is "partial 16S ribosomal RNA". It matches the Rfam family "Bacterial small subunit ribosomal RNA", at positions 29 to 523 of the family's 1533-position model. The record is from RNAcentral.
AGCGAACGCUGGCGGCAGGCUUAACACAUGCAAGUCGAGCGGGCCCUUCGGGGUCAGCGGCGGACGGGUGAGUAACGCGUGGGAACGUGCCCUCUGGUUCGGAAUAACUCAGGGAAACUUGAGCUAAUACCGGAUACGCCCUUUUGGGGAAAGGCUUGCUGCCGGAGGAUCGGCCCGCGUCUGAUUAGCUAGUUGGUGGGGUAACGGCCUACCAAGGCGACGAUCAGUAGCUGGUCUGAGAGGAUGAUCAGCCACACUGGGACUGAGACACGGCCCAGACUCCUACGGGAGGCAGCAGUGGGGAAUAUUGGACAAUGGGGGCAACCCUGAUCCAGCCACGCCGCGUGAGUGAUGAAGGCCUUAGGGUUGUAAAGCUCUUUUAUCCGGGACGAUAAUGACGGUACCGGAGGAAUAAGCCCCGGCUAACUUCGUGCCAGCCGCCGCCGUAA